RNA transcript from Carlito syrichta (Philippine tarsier), 813 nucleotides. It is a transcript of the gene named receptor of activated protein C kinase 1 pseudogene, with no coding region annotated. The transcript has a single exon. The record is from RefSeq and is a predicted model, not a curated record. Lineage: Eukaryota; Metazoa; Chordata; Mammalia; Primates; Tarsiidae.
GUGAUUCCCACUUCAUUAGUGAUGUGGUGAUCUCCUCGGAUGACCAGUUUACACUCUUGGGCUCCUGGGAUGGGACCCUGUGCCUAUGGGAUCUCACAAUGGGCACCACCAUGUGAAGACUUGUGGGUCAUACCAAAGACAUGCUGAGUGUGGCCUUCUCCUCUGACAAUCAGUAGAUUGUCUCUGGAUCCCGAGAUAAAACCAUCAAGUUAUGGAAUACUCUGGGUGUGUGCAAAUACACUGUCCAGGAUGAGAGCCACUCAGAAUGGGUGUCUUGUGUCCCCUUUUCACCCAACAGCAGCAACCCCAUCAUUGUUUCCUGCAGCUGGGACAAAUUGGUCAAGAUAUGGGAUCUGGCUAACUGCAAGUUGAAGACCAGCCACAUCGGCCACACGGGCUAUCCGGUGACGGUGUCUCCAGAUGGAUUUCUUUGUGCUUCUGGAGGCAAGGAUGGCCAGGCCAUGCUAUGGGACCUCAAAGAAGGCAAGCACCUUUAUACGCUAGAUGGUGGGGACGUCAUCAAUGCCCUGUGCUUCAGCCCCAACCGCUACUGGCUCUGUGCCGCCAAGGGCCCCAGCAUCAAGAUCUGGGACUUAGAGGGCAAGAUCAUUGUAGAUGAGCUGAAGCAGGAAGUUAUCAGUACCAGCAGCAAGGCAGAGUCACCCCAGUGCCCCUCUCUGGCCUGGUCUGCUCAUGGUCAGACUCUGUUUGCUGGCUACACAGACAACCUGGUAUGAGUGUGACAGGUGACUAUCGGCACUCAUUAGAAAUUUGUGACAGAGCUUUAGAAAUAAAAAAACCUGAUUUUCUGAC